Magallana angulata is the source of this 275-nucleotide long non-coding RNA. RefSeq lists it as uncharacterized. Lineage: Eukaryota; Metazoa; Mollusca; Bivalvia; Ostreida; Ostreidae. The transcript has 4 exons. The record is from RefSeq and is a predicted model, not a curated record.
AUCGUGGAGUCCAUAAGAGUACUUUACACACUUUCCUCCAUUGGAUAUAAAUAGCGCAUGCGCAAUCGGAACUUCCUACUCGAAGAUGGAAAUAAUUGUUUACAUGACUGAUGUGCCUUAUGAUGUAGAUGUUGGAUAUUGUGCUUUUCCAGAGAAAUGGCCCAAAAUGGAAAGCAUCUGCAGACAAUGACUGAUAUGUUUUUUGAUGCAGAUGUUUAAAAUGAUGCUUUUGAAGGAAAAAUAUCCAAGCUAAAUGAGGUUUCCUGAGAAAAGUG